AGUACUCGGGAUUGAAUCCAGGGUCUCUGCACUGAGUUGUACCCCAGCCCUUUAUUUUUUCUUUUGAGACAGGCUGCUAUCUUGCUCAGGCUGCGUGGGAAUUUGUAAUCCUCCCUCAGCCUCUCAGACUUCUGGGAUUACAGGUGUGCAUCAUCUUUUUUAGUUCAAUGAUAUGUCAAACAAACGCUAAGGUAGUCUCUUUGUAAGUGUAUGGAUACAUUUAGAAGGCAGUUUCUCAGCCUGGAAUUGUUCUAAAUGAGAGUGUUUUGGUUGAAAGAUUAGGAGGAAAUAAGCAUUGACAAGUAGCAUGGAGUACCAACAAAAUCAGGAAAAAUGAAGUUUAAGAUGAUGUCUUUAUAAGAUUCUAUUCAAAUUAACAGAAAUAGAAAAACUAUACAUAAUACCCCAGUAUUUUUGCCCCUAACCCUUUAACUCUAAGCCUUGCACACAUGACCAAUAUGUAUUUUCCUAGCAAUGGGAGUUGAACCUUAAAAACUACCUGUAGUGCCAGGUGUGGUAAUGCACACCUGUGACUUCAGCACACUUGAGGCAAAAGGGUCACUGUGAGUUUGAGGGCAGCCUGAACUGCACAGUGAGCCUUUGCCUCAGUAAAAACAAAAACAAACAGAAAACCUAUCUGUUGAUGGUUGUAUCUACACAUCCCCCACAGAGCCACCGCAGGCAUAGAUGGGAUUUUCAAAGGUGGCUGGCUCUGUGAUGCUGGGAUUAAGGGCGUCCCACCCUGGGUGUGACUGGGUGGCACGUAAAAGACAGCAAGAGGGCUGCUGCUGUCACUUGCUGCUGCUGUUUCUGCUGCUGCCGCCUGCAAUGGACUUCAGUGGACUGUUCGUUUCUCCUCUGUGCUGCCCCUCUGCCCUGCCACCCUACCUGAGAACAGCUACCAACUGAAACUUCUACAAACUGUGAGCUAAAAUAUCCACAAGAACUAUAACAUCUUUGGAACAUCAGCUCUAAUGACAAUCAGUUGCUUCAGACCUCAAAAAUAUUCUUCUGACCCUUUACACCUCUCUCACAGUGUCAGUGGCUACAAACUGAAGACAUUUCCCUAUAUGACAGCGCUAAAUUAUUCCUCAACAACUUGUGUGGCCCUGAGAAACCGACAGGACCCAGCCAGGUUCAGACAACUUGAUUCGUCUUUGCUAAGACAGAAACUCCAGGCCUUCAUGCUUCUUCACACGCUCAGGACCGCAUGUAUGAAACAAACCCCAAUCAGACCUCACCCACACCAUCUGAUCCACUUUUAGGCUACUAGAUGUAACAGUGAGGCUGGGUGAGGGCAAACCUAUACUCCUAGCAGUUGGGAGGCUAAGGAAGACAACUGUAAGUUCAAGGCCCACCUCGGUACCCCAGUGAGCCCCUGUCUCAAAAUGAAAAAUAGGAAGAGCUGGGAUUUAGCUCAGAGCAAAGAACCCAGGGUUCAGCCCCCAAUGCAGCCUUGUUUUCUUUUUUACUUAAACAGGUUUUUACUUAGUGAUUUUCGGUGACUUUUCAGGUAAACAGAAGCUCUACUUCCAGUAGCCCACUUCUCAGAAGAAGGGUUGUUCCUUUCUAUAUUUGGUAGAGAAAAACUAAAAAAUAUACAUAUAACUUGAACAUUAAAAAGAAAAAUAUUUAGAAAUCAUGUAAGUAACAUACUGGAGAUAUUAGAUAAGGAAACAGGUAUAAAAGGGGAAGGUGGAAAGAGGAUUGGGGAUCCCUCUCCGUCUCCAACGUCUGUGACGAGCAAUACUGUCCUAUUUGCCAUGUAAAGAUUAGUCUUGAACCCAAAUUCCUUGAGUCAAAUAUAGUCUUAAACUAGUUUUAAAUUCUUUUAAGUCAACAGUUAAUAAACUCCUAAUUAAAUGUUCAGUAAUAAUAUAUGCAGAUUGCUGUUUAGAAAAAAUUUAUACAAAUGAUUUUAAUAUGUCCUGAAAGAACAUAGAUCAAGUAGCAGGUAAAUUUUCAUGUUAAACACAAGUUAUUUAUACAGUUUAACUAGGAAGGUAGAAAAUGGAUAAAAUCACCGCUUAUAUAAUUUCCAACUCUGCCUUCUCUGAUAAACUAGAAAAAUGAAACUUCAAUUUUUUUCAUUAAAUUUAUUCCUUCUGCUUUAUUUGAUUUGAUUUAAUGUGUUUUCUGAGCUCAGAAAGGUAAGUGUGCCAGUCUGCCUUUUUGUUUAGUGUUUCUGUUCCCAUUAUCUUGUAGUUUUUAAUAAAAAUAUUUAAAACUUGUCUAUUUGGCUAAACCUAGGUAAUCAGGCAGACGCAUACAGCAAACACACGCAAGUGAGCAGAGUGAGGCCACCGCCCAUCCAACUCCUCCAGGAGACCCCAUGAGUAGUUUACGGUACAAACCAUCAAUCUACACUACUGGCAGCAGCUACAUUAAACAUGGGCCAAAGCUCUUUUUUUAAAUAAAAAGUUUAAAUAAAAGUUCUGUUUUCUUCCUAUACUGCCAAUGCAUCACUUUGGAGGCCCAUGCACUAAAAAUUAGGUUUCCAGCACCUAGGAGGUUCUCAACAAAUACUGAAGAAUAAAAGCAGCAUGUCAGCUACUCAGAUUUUUUCUGGAUGUUGUUCACAUUAUGUCUGGGGACUAUCAUGUAACCCAACUGUCUCAAGUAAAAUUUUGAAAGUAAAAAUGUGGGGGAAGGACUGCUUACAAUACCAAGUUUUCUUCAGAAAAAGACUAUAUAUCUUUGCUUUGUAUCCUUCUUUCAUAACAUUUACUCCUAGAGCAUAGCUGAAAUUUUUGACAUUUUGCUGAAUUUUUUUUUCUUUUGGGCAUUUUUACUUUGACUGAUGACUGCUAACAGAAGAGAAAGUGAUUAGAUUUAGGAUAGCUGGGCAUGGUGGUGCAGGCCUGUAACCUCAUGACUCAGGAGGCUAAAGCAGUAGGGCUGGACUGAAUUCAAAGCCAAUCUGAGCUAUAUAGUGAGUCACUCACUACAUAGUGAGACCCUGUCUCAAAAAAAGAUUUUGCAUGUUUAUAAUGUAUUUAACUUCCAAAAGUUCUAAUUAAUUCUAGUUGCAGUUUUCUAUCAGAGUUCCCUGGGGUCUUCUGGGUGUUCCAGCAACUAGUUUUUACAUAAAAAUAUUUUCGUUUCCAAUAUUUACUUGAAUUAUUUCACUACUUUACCACAAUGACUAGAACUGCCAAAACAAUGUUUCGUAAGUGAUGAUCAUGUAUAUGAUAACAGGAAGUAUUUCUCUUUUUCCUGAUUUAAUGUUAAUGGCAUUAGCAUUUCAUCAUGUACUGUGAUGUUUCCUGUUUUUUGAUAACUGUAACAGUUUAAUAGUUUCAUUUCAAUGUUAUUAAUUUAAAUGAGAAUUGACUUAUAAUAAAUAUUUUAGGUUUUUGUUUCAAUUAUAGUCAAUAACUAUUUUAAUUAGUAAAAAUGGCUUAUUUUCUUCUUGGAGUUUCUAUUAGAUUUCUGUCUUAAGGUUUCCAAAGUUUCAUAAUAUUAAUGUACUCUACUAGCUACUCAUUACCUGUGGCCAUUUAAAUUUAUAUUAAUUUAAAAUAAAACAAAAUAUUUAAAUUCUCAGCCACACCAGCCAUAUUGUUAUGGUUUGUAUUUACAUAUCCCCCAAAAAACAAUGCAGGCACAGGUGGGGCAUUUGGAGAUGGCUGGGUUCAGGCUGUGUGGACGUGGACUAAAGGUAUGGAUAAGGGAAGCCUCACACUGGGUAUGGGUGGCACCAAUCAAUAAACUUGUAACUAGGUGG
Chinchilla lanigera (long-tailed chinchilla) is the source of this 3727-nucleotide long non-coding RNA. RefSeq lists it as uncharacterized. The record is from RefSeq and is a predicted model, not a curated record. The transcript is spliced from 3 exons. Lineage: Eukaryota; Metazoa; Chordata; Mammalia; Rodentia; Chinchillidae.